This 507-nucleotide ribosomal RNA is filed under the name uncultured bacterium. RNAcentral's name for it is "partial 16S ribosomal RNA". It matches the Rfam family "Bacterial small subunit ribosomal RNA", at positions 30 to 522 of the family's 1533-position model. The record is from RNAcentral.
AUUGAACGCUGGCGGCAUGCCUUACACAUGCAAGUCGAACGGCAGCGGGGGAGAAGCUUGCUUUUCCUGCCGGCGAGUGGCGAACGGGUGAGUAAUACAUCGGAACGUGCCCUGUAGUGGGGGAUAACUAGUCGAAAGAUUAGCUAAUACCGCAUACGACCUGAGGGUGAAAGUGGGGGACCGCAAGGCCUCAUGCUAUAGGAGCGGCCGAUGUCUGAUUAGCUAGUUGGUGGGGUAAAGGCCUACCAAGGCGACGAUCAGUAGCUGGUCUGAGAGGACGAUCAGCCAAACUGGGACUGAGAAACGGCCCAGACUCCUACGGGAGGCAGCGGUGGGGAAUUUUGGACAAUGGGCGAAAGCCUGAUCCAGCAAUGCCGCGUGUGUGAAGAAGGCCUUCGGGUUGUAAAGCACUUUUGUCCGGAAGGAAAUGGCUCUGGUUAAUACCUGGGGUCGAUGACGGUACCGCAAGAAUAAGGACCGGCUAACUACGUGCCAGCAGCCGCCUAA